RNAcentral lists this ribosomal RNA (274 nucleotides) under Buchnera aphidicola (Sitobion avenae). RNAcentral describes it as "partial 16S ribosomal RNA". It matches the Rfam family "Bacterial small subunit ribosomal RNA", at positions 8 to 276 of the family's 1533-position model. Lineage: Bacteria; Pseudomonadati; Pseudomonadota; Gammaproteobacteria; Enterobacterales; Erwiniaceae. The record is from RNAcentral.
AGAGUUUGACCAUGGCUCAGAUUGAACGCUGGCGGCAAGCCUAACACAUGCAAGUCGAGCGGCAGCGAAAGAGAGCUUGCUCUCUUGUCGGCAAGCGGCAAACGGGUGAGUAAUAUCUGGGGAUCUACCCAAAAGAGGGGGAUAACUACUAGAAAUGGUAGCUAAUACCGCAUAAUGUUGCAAAACCAAAGUAGGGGACCUUUAUAGGCCUUAUGCUUUUGGAUGAACCCAGACGAGAUUAGCUUGUUGGUGGAGUAAUAGCCUACCAAGGCAA